This 464-nucleotide ribosomal RNA is filed under the name uncultured bacterium. RNAcentral's name for it is "partial 16S ribosomal RNA". It matches the Rfam family "Bacterial small subunit ribosomal RNA", at positions 28 to 507 of the family's 1533-position model. The record is from RNAcentral.
GACGAACGCUGGCGGCGUGCUUAACACAUGCAAGUCGAACGGAAAGGCCCUGCUUGCAGGGUACUCGAGUGGCGAACGGGUGAGUAACACGUGGGUGAUCUGCCCUGCACUUCGGGAUAAGCCUGGGAAACUGGGUCUAAUACCGGAUAGGAGCCAUUUUUAGUGUGAUGGUUGGAAAGUUUUUUCGGUGUAGGAUGAGCUCGCGGCCUAUCAGCUUGUUGGUGGGGUAAUGGCCUACCAAGGCGGCGACGGGUAGCCGGCCUGAGAGGGUGGACGGCCACAUUGGGACUGAGAUACGGCCCAGACUCCUACGGGAGGCAGCAGUGGGGAAUAUUGCACAAUGGGCGCAAGCCUGAUGCAGAGACGCCGCGUGGGGGAUGACGGCCUUCGGGUUGUAAACUCCUUUCGCUAGGGACGAAGCUUUUGUGACGGUACCUAGAUAAGAAGCACCGGCUAACUACGUG